UACGUAGGGUGCGAGCGUUAAUCGGAAUUACUGGGCGUAAAGCGUGCGCAGGCGGUUCGUUAAGUUCGUUGUGAAAGCCCCGGGCUCAACCUGGGAACGGCAAUGGAAACUGGCGGACUCGAGUGUGGCAGAGGGGGGUGGAAUUCCACGUGUAGCAGUGAAAUGCGUAGAGAUGUGGAGGAACACCGAUGGCGAAGGCAGCCCCCUGGGUCAAGAUUGACGCUCAUGCACGAAAGCGUGGGGAGCAAACAGG
This 253-nucleotide ribosomal RNA is filed under the name uncultured bacterium. RNAcentral describes it as "partial 16S ribosomal RNA". It matches the Rfam family "Bacterial small subunit ribosomal RNA", at positions 524 to 776 of the family's 1533-position model. The record is from RNAcentral.